RNAcentral lists this ribosomal RNA (520 nucleotides) under Escherichia coli. RNAcentral's name for it is "partial 23S ribosomal RNA". It matches the Rfam family "Bacterial large subunit ribosomal RNA", at positions 344 to 869 of the family's 2925-position model. Lineage: Bacteria; Pseudomonadati; Pseudomonadota; Gammaproteobacteria; Enterobacterales; Enterobacteriaceae. The record is from RNAcentral.
GGAAAGGCGCGCGAUACAGGGUGACAGCCCCGUACACAAAAAUGCACAUGCUGUGAGCUCGAUGAGUAGGGCGGGACACGUGGUAUCCUGUCUGAAUAUGGGGGGACCAUCCUCCAAGGCUAAAUACUCCUGACUGACCGAUAGUGAACCAGUACCGUGAGGGAAAGGCGAAAAGAACCCCGGCGAGGGGAGUGAAAAAGAACCUGAAACCGUGUACGUACAAGCAGUGGGAGCACGCUUAGGCGUGUGACUGCGUACCUUUUGUAUAAUGGGUCAGCGACUUAUAUUCUGUAGCAAGGUUAACCGAAUAGGGGAGCCGAAGGGAAACCGAGUCUUAACUGGGCGUUAAGUUGCAGGGUAUAGACCCGAAACCCGGUGAUCUAGCCAUGGGCAGGUUGAAGGUUGGGUAACACUAACUGGAGGACCGAACCGACUAAUGUUGAAAAAUUAGCGGAUGACUUGUGGCUGGGGGUGAAAGGCCAAUCAAACCGGGAGAUAGCUGGUUCUCCCCGAAAGCUAU